ACGACACGAUGCGCACGUAGCACAUGGAAUUCAGCAGCACAUUAAGGAGACCCGAAAAUCAGGAUCCAGUUGUUUUUAUCCCAGGGCUGCUGGGGCGGUUCCAAUACACAAAUCAGUAAAGCAGUGCAGCAGAGAGAGAAUGAAGAGUCAGAAUCGCUGGUGCUCAGGGAGGGUGGGACCAACACCCACAGGGCCACCAGUGUCACCAAGCCCCAGAGUGUCCGUGGCUCUUCCACCGAGACCCGGAAAGAGCCCUCGGCCUGCACCCCAAGCAGCCCCUGCUCCUGACCCUUGUCCCCCCACUCCCAGGUCCUCAUCCCCACGACCCGGUGCCACUCCCACAAGGAGAGCAUCCAGGGCCAGCUGAAGGUGCGCGCGCCCGGCAUCUACAUGCUCAUCUUCGACAACACCUUCUCCAGGUAGGCUCUCGGGCGCAGAGCUGGACCUGCAACCCGCACCCACUGAGGCAGCUCAUGGUCGCAGUGUUCACUGCGGAUUUCACACCGCAGGGUGGCAGUGCCAGGGCCUGACCCGCGCCCACAGCUCACCCAGAGAGGGGCCCUGGACACACCCCAGAGGGUGGGGCAGAUGGAGGAAGGAGAAGCGAGAACCGGAGGGGGCGCGGAGAGGGCAGGACACGGCCCGAGAGGCAGCCUGGGCCAGCCGCUCUUGGCUGUCGGGUGCAGGCGACGCCCCCCUUUCCGUGUCUGUCUCCUCAGGUUCAUCUCCAAGAAAGUGUUUUACCACUUGACGGUUGACCGGCCUGUGAUCUACGACGGCAGUGACUUCCCCUAGCGCCGGCCACCUGGGCUGCCAGUGUCACCUCACCACAGGAAACACUACUCUUCCUCCCCGUCACACGAAGCACCAGAGAAAGAAGCAAGGCGAGGCCUCCUGCCCCAGCCCUGCAGCCCCGAAUGUCCCGCUCAGCCCCCCGGCUCCUGAGUGCUCCGUGACAUUGCCCUGAGGGAGACCAGCUGUGCUCACACCCGAGGCGCCCUCCGGAGCUCCCACCUCUCCUGCAGACAAGUUCCCAUGCCAGCCUCGCCCCAGCAGGCUCCCUGGUGACCCCAGCCAGGUGCCCUGGGCACACCCUGCAUGUCCCCAGGACGGGCCCACAGGACCAGGGUGCAGGGCCGGGCGGGCCUCCCACCACCCUGCCAGCCUCCUCCUCCUGUCACACGCUGUCCCUUAAGUUCGGGGCUGCACCAGAGCUCAUCGGUUCGGAGGAGCCGCUGAGCCACACUCCUCAUGGCCCUUUGCUGAGGUGACUGUCCUUAGGUGAAGCGCUUGCUCCUCCCGGAGCUCAGCGGGACCCAAGCCUGCCGAGCCAGGGCCUCCUGGGGCGGGGGGGAGCUCGAGGUUCACCUGUGUACCAGGGAGCAGUGCCAGGCAGGAGCCACUCUGAAAAACUGGGUCUUCUGAGCAAGUCUUUGGUGACUUAGGAACCAAAAUAGCAGAGGAAACAGAUCAUAAUUUAUCCUUGUGCCCACUCCCCCUGCCAGUGCCCCACCCCGUGUGCCCACUUCCUUCCCUGACAGGAAGCAGACGGCCUUCCCUCCCCUGGGCUCCUUUCCUGCUCCCCGCCCCACAAGGAGCUCUGGCUUAAUGGUCCCUGUCCCCGGCGAGGCCGGCCCCCUGCACUCCAGCCCCUGGUACGUCCGCAGCUGUGCAGAGUGUAUGACAGACACAGCAGCCCGCUGUGGCCAGGGGUGAGGACAGAGCCCCGCCGGGCUGGCUGAGGGUCUCCCUGACCUCCCUGUCCCCCCAGAGCCGUGACUCCUCGUCAGGAGUCCAGGCCAGGUCCAGCCCAGACCCCAGCCCACCGGGUGCCCAGCUGCAGUCCCGACACCAGCAAGGAGGCCGUGUGCGGGUCACAAGCGAGAGGAAAGAACCUGCAGAAGAGCCAGGCCUCUUAUGCCCUCUGUCCUUGGAGCGGCCUCUACUGAGUCCCCAGGUGUCCUGUCACACCCUGUCGGGGCCAUGGCUGCUCGGCAUGAGGCAGAAAACUUCCCAGCUUCCAGUGUCCUCACCACAUGCCCCUAGCCCUAAGCUCAGGAGCAGGGUAUCUGGCUUCAAGCCCACCUGCCCUAUUGUACAGAGCCACUGGAAGCUGGCUGCUCCCCAUGAGACAGGGGCUGACAGGAGAGUGACAGCCUGGAAUCUUCUUCCAGUGCCGACUUUCCCAGGAUGCCCUGGGGACUCUGGCCUCGCUGAUGGCCCUCUGUGGACGCCCCGCCCCUGUGCAGCAGGAGCCACCUGCAUUGAGCAGCUGCUGUGCCCAGGCCUGGGCGUCACCUGAGCAUCUGUCACUCGGCACAGCAGGGACUGCUUGCAGGUCCCCAGGCCACCUGGCUGUCGUGAAGCCACCCAGAACCGCUCCUGGAGGACAGUCGGGCCUCUGCUGCAUGUCGGGGCUGCCCACGGCCACCUGGGGCACUUCCACCGUCACUUCCUCCUGGCCUCGGCAUGCACAUUUCUUGUGCUGAGUGGACACUUACAUGCCACUAGCUUUCUGCUCAGAUCCAAUCUGCAGUGCACUGUGUAGCUCAAGACCGCUUGGCCUGUUUAAGGCUGGAUUUUACACAUAGCUUUAUUCUCACUCUAAACAGUUCUCAGCUGUACUAAGGUUUGGAGUUUAGGUCAUUUUUUAGAAAUGCAAAUGACAAUUGAAUCACUGCUGACAGCCAUCGCCCCAGCUAGACACUACACCGGAAGUCACAAGCAGGUGACCUCAGGCUCCAGGUCACUACCCGCCCCUCGCAGGCCUCGCCCGGAAACACAGCAACCAGCCCGACAUGUCCACCACCAAGGCAGCCUGGUUCCCGCAGAGCACCCAGCCUGGGGCCCUAGACUCCAGGUGGACGCGGGAAGCAGGCAGAAUCCAGCGCGGAAGCCUCACGGGGUUCGGGCAGUAGCGGUGCAGAGCCGCGUCACAUACUCAGAAGUGCAGGAAUGGUGUUUCUGAAACCCGUCAGUGGCGAGGCCAUUCCAGCCAGACAGAAGGAAAUACUCCGGAAGGGUGGGAUCGCCAAUUGACUGGGCGCUCGCCAAUAGAAUUUUAUAGGUGUUUCAUUUUUAAAAUCCACCUAGAGCCGUUUAGCCAAGAAGCCGUUCUUGGUUCGGGGUUGGGGAGCAGGGAGAAGCCGUCCGCAGUGCUGAGAACAAGGGCCAUCGAGAGGCGUCUGUCUCUUGUCUUUGUUCUGCCAAGGGUUCCCCUCUCCAUCAGAAGCACUUUUCUUAGUAAAGCAGAUCGUUAGAUUCCAGGAAGCAUCUCUGACAGGGCAAAGCCAGAAAGACAGCUUCCUUAGGGCCUCCUGCAUGUUACCCAGAGACGCUUCCCUGGGCUUGGGGACACCAGGCCUCAGGUCAGAGGCUGGAAAUCGGAAUGCACUUUACUGCCCCUCACUUCCGUGGCCUUAGGGAUGGGCGCUGAGUCUUUCCUGCCAAAGAAUGGCCAAAGUACCUCAGAUACCAGCACCGCAGCCCACAGUGGGGCCCGAGAAACUUGUAGCCCAGAACGUGUUCCUUAUAGCACCUGCUAAGCCGUUUGGAAAUGUUUUUUAACCUCAGCAUUUAAAUAAACACUAUGACAUUUAGAGCAGCCUCGUCCAUCAGUCUGUUGAAAGACUCGUGAUAAGACAGACGCACAAACACGUCGGGAAGCGGAGCGUCUUUACAUCAAGACGCGGGCUGGCGGCUGGCGAGGCCGUGGCCGCGGCUCCCCGCAGGCUGCCCCGCCCUUGCCGGGACGCUGUGCUCGAGCCUGGCCUGGCUGGAUGAGCUCGGGAUGCGGGGCCUCCCAUGAGUGCCUCUGCCGCAAGGGCCCCGCCAGCACCCAGCCUCCCUUCCUCUUCCGCCCCCACCUGCCCCGGGUUCUCUCCUGGCUCCUUCUUCAGUCACCCCCAGCAGCGGGGCAGUUGUCCCUCCCGGGCUAGGGCCGGGGUCUGGCUCAUCCCCAUCUCCUCGCCACCCCGGGCUCGGAGCUCGGAGCAGCGCGCCGGACAGCACAGCAGGAGGGGCUCCCAGGUCCCGAGUCGAUGAGGACCCCGGAGCGGCCCGGUGCGGUGCUUUGGGUCAGCUCAGAGGCCACCGCUGCGGGGACAGAAGCUGCCAAAGCCCCAAGGCAAGUCAGCAGGAGGAGCUUCGGGCACGGGGACGGGCGCCGGUCACAGCCCUGAUGCGCACCCUCCGCCGGGGCCCCCAGGUCCACCCGCGUUCACCCCACCGCCCCAAACCCCGAGUGACCCCAGGGGACCGGGUCCCUGCCGGACGAGUUCCAAGCCCACACCCCAGGCCCCCCAGGACUCGGCCUGCCCGGCCUCAUUGGGUCCCCAGCGCUGAGGGCCCAGCACCUCCCCGGCGACCCGGAAGGACACACGCUGCAGGGUCAGCCGCUUCGGUUUAAGAUGCGCGGGAAACUCUGCCCACACACAUCUGACGAGCAAAUCGGUGAAACCCGUCACCCGGAAUGAGAAAACGGGUUACUUUUUGAUAGAUUUCCCUCCAGUUUAGGGUGGCUGCUGUAUAUAACAGCAACCUUCUUUCCAGCAUGCCCCUACUCCCACCAAAAGAGUAACCUGACGCUUGCUCUCCUCCUGGCAACCACUGACGUCACCGGCUCCUCCAGUCCCUAGCCGCUCCCUCACUCAGCCCCGCCUCAGCCCCUACAAGCUCCACCCCCGCCCCUAUAAAAGGCACUUGCUUCCCCUACCAUCUUGCUUUUGUCUCUCCUUUGUUCAGAGACGACCCGGCCAGCCGCUCCCGCCUCCGGCCGCAGUCGGAGAAGCUGGUUCCUCCUGUCCUUGCCCAGCGCCCGCUCUCGGCCGAUGCAGAAGGAGACGUUCCCCAGGCCCGGACACCCCACUUCCAGGUCAGCGGGGCAGGCAGAGGGUGUGACCGGAAGGGCUUUCCCCGAGACACGGAGGCCAGGCUGCAGCCUGGGUGGCAGAAGCUGGCUUUGUUGUUGGAGGAGGGGAACAGAGAAGAAAUGGUAGUGCUCGUGGCUAAAGCCAACGGCCACAUCCGUGAGAACCACCGGGUGAGCACAAAAGCCCUGGAGCCCUGACUGAACAUCACCAGGGGCGGGGGCUGCACCGAAGCCACAUUUGUGAACAGGCCGGCAGCAGCAUCGCCCGCACAGGCCUCUGCCCACAAGUGGCUUCUGUGUGUGGCACCGAAGGUCACUAUGACAACAGCUUGUGCACCCCCGUGCGGUCCCCCACAGAACUGUUGGGUGUUCUGAGGAAGAGAUCAUACACACCCCCAGCUGGCCCUGUGGAAGGGUCACAGGGAAGUCACCAGUCCUGCGUGGGUCUCUGGUUACCAAACAUCUGGGUACAGAGCCUCAGGGGAGAGCCCAAGACUCACCACCACUCCUUUGUUCCAAGCUCCACCGCUCGUUUAGUGGCGGGGGACCCAGAGCGAGAGGUGGUAUCUCCCACAUCAGCACUGGUUCACCAGGUCUGGUCACUCACCAGUCACCGGGGACCCCGAGAAGGUGCUGGGGAGCAUUGCUGCAUCUCCACGGCCGGGCCUAGGAUGGGAGGAGAGGGCUCACGGGUGGAUCGGUCUGUCCUCCACUUCAGCAGUGCCCUUGACGGGUGGACAGGGACUUCCUCCUUCACCCGCUGGCCCGGCACUGGGUGCAGCAAGGGAGAUGUUAUUCUUGUCGAGGAGGACAUUUCUAAAUGAAUUCCCUGCCAUGAAACUAUUCUGCAGGUAAAAUACUUCUACAACCACAAUUUUUAAUGCUUAUAUUUUUAUUCAAGGGGCCUGUUGAGAACUGGCAGAUCCUUCAUCAAUGGAAAACCACUCCCUUCCUUUGAAUCUUUACCCAGAGAGGCUAUUAGAAUAAAUAAAUUCAUUGAAGUUACAGGUUACAAAGUCAACAUAUAAAAAUCAGUAGCAUCUCUGGAUACCAAUAGUGAACUAUCUGAGAAAGAAAUCAAAAGCAACCCCACUUCUG
RNAcentral lists this long non-coding RNA (5968 nucleotides) under Heterocephalus glaber (naked mole-rat). Its description in RNAcentral is "lncRNA (ENSHGLG00100033137.1)". The record is from RNAcentral. Lineage: Eukaryota; Metazoa; Chordata; Mammalia; Rodentia; Bathyergidae.